UGUCAAUAAAAGAAAUUCAGA
This 21-nucleotide non-coding RNA is filed under the name Caenorhabditis elegans. The record is from RNAcentral. Lineage: Eukaryota; Metazoa; Nematoda; Chromadorea; Rhabditida; Rhabditidae.